GAUGAAGAACGUAGCGAAAUGCGAUACUUGGUGUGAAUUGCAGAAUCCCGUGAGCCAUCGAGUCUUUGAACGCAAGUUGCGCCUCAAGCCAUUAGGUUGAGGGCACGUCUGCCUGGGCGUCACAUAUCGUUGCCUGAUGCCAGUUUCCUCGUGAUGGGUGACUGUGCAGGGCGAAUGAUGGCUUCCCGUGAGCAUUGUUGCCUCAUGGUUGGUUGAAAAUUGAGUCCUUGGUAGGGAGCGCCGUGAUAGAUGGUGGUUGAGUGACGAACGAGACCCAAUCAUGUGAGACCCCUACCGAAUUUGGCCUUCAUGACCCACAUGCGUCUUUGGAACGCUCAUGACGAGACCUCAGGUCAGGCGGGGCUACCCGCUGAGUUUAAGCAUAUCAAUAAGCGGAGGA
RNAcentral lists this unclassified non-coding RNA (400 nucleotides) under soil metagenome. RNAcentral describes it as "partial contains 5.8S ribosomal RNA, internal transcribed spacer 2, and large subunit ribosomal RNA". The stretch from base 1 to 122 matches the Rfam family "5.8S ribosomal RNA", at positions 35 to 154 of the family's 154-position model. The record is from RNAcentral.